CAAAAAACAUCCUGCGUUUGUUCAGCUGCUAGCGCAAUGGUCCUGUGUCCCUCUCUGGUGCAUCUAUGAAUUUUGAUAGCGAUAGUUGCAGCAUACCGCUCAGUCAAUGAAUUUACUUAGGAGAGCUUUCUUGUUUUUGGAAAAAAAAAAAAAAAGUAUUGCAGAACUAACAAAGUAGGCUUUUAAGACAGUAGAGCUGCAAUAUCCAACCUUUAAUACACUCAUGGAGAGAUUUCAUUCAUUAUAGAAUCACAGAAUCAUAAGGAUUGGAAGGGAACUCUGGAGAUCAUGUAGUUCAACUCAACCCUCACACAGGAUGUAUUUGCUUCUUCACCACUUGGUCAUGUCAAAACCUCAGUGCUCAUCAUUAAAUACAGAAAACAGAGGCAAGCUGCCUUUCCCUUUGGAUGUUAUGCAGCAAAUUAGCAAUAUGUAAACAAACUGAAAAAUAUAAGAAGUCAGCAGCGAGUUCCCAUUCACUAAUGUACAUUCCGUACUUCCUCUGUAUCAACAUUUUAACAGAAUAUGAAUGAUUGCCUCCUUUCCUUUCAGGUAGAUGUUGCCAGUUUGUGCAUCAAGACUGGUGCCAAGAACAUGCCCACAGUGUUUUUUGCUGACAGAUGCCCAGGUUCCAGAUGAACGCUUUCUUGUGCUGAUUAAUGACUUGUUGGCAUCAAGUGAUUAGACCAACACAUUUCUUGAAAGAUCUUCUCCAAUGACAAAUGAUCUGUGGUUUCAGUGAACUUUAGAGAGAUUACUUCUCUUUCAGGAGAUCUUCCUGAUCUGUUCAGUGGUGAAGAUGAGGAGGGCAAAGUUGCAGGAGUCAGAAAAGAAGUCCCUGGGCUUGAUGGACACCACAGAAAGCUGCUGGAGGUGGUUCUUUGGUAGAGCGCAGCAGCUGUUAAAAGUAAGAAAGCUGGAAAAGAGAUGUGGCUGUCCAAAUCCUUUCAAUUUUCAUUAUAGUUCAACAGUUGGGAAAUAUUCAUCUCCAAAUGUGUAUGGUGAAGUAGAGUCGAAAUGUUGUGCACUGGUCCAGGCAAAUACAAAAUUAGCAACAGCUAAAGAGAAUCUAGAAACAAUCUUGAAAAAGCUUAUUAUUGAACAGAAGACUGUGUUUACAAGCAAGCACCCAUGGAGCACUUCUGAGGGAUUAUUUGUGGAUGGUUGUUAAUUAUUCUUCUAAUGGAGUAUCUGCAACACAAAGCGCUCUUGAAACAAACAAAGACACCUUUGGUACCUUGGGAGAUGGUGGGUGGAAGGAGUUCCUCUGCUGCAAGCUAAUUACCCUGACUUAUCAAACAAGACUUUAAACGAUUCAAAAGAUGUGGCAUUAACUGAGUUUAGAAGACUUGGGUUGACUCUUUUUUCUUGUGAGUAUUUAGAUCUGGAAUCUCACAACUUAAGUUAUCAAGCAAUAAAUGAAGGCUAGUCAAUUCCA
This 1438-nucleotide long non-coding RNA is filed under the name Numida meleagris (helmeted guineafowl). Its description in RNAcentral is "lncRNA (ENSNMEG00000007266.1)". The record is from RNAcentral. Lineage: Eukaryota; Metazoa; Chordata; Aves; Galliformes; Numididae.